AGUGAACGCUGGCGGUAGGCCUAACACAUGCAAGUCGAACGGCAGCACAGUAAGAGCUUGCUCUUACGGGUGGCGAGUGGCGGACGGGUGAGGAAUACAUCGGAAUCUACUUUUUCGUGGGGGAUAACGUAGGGACACUUACGCUAAUACCGCAUACGACCUACGGGUGAAAGCAGGGGAUCUUCGGACCUUGCGCGAUUGAAUGAGCCGAUGUCGGAUUAGCUAGUUGGCGGGGUAAAGGCCCACCAAGGCGACGAUCCGUAGCUGGUCUGAGAGGAUGAUCAGCCACACUGGAACUGAGACACGGUCCAGACUCCUACGGGAGGCAGCAGUGGGGAAUAUUGGACAAAGGGCGCAAGCCUGAUCCAGCCAUACCGCGUGGGUGAAGAAGGCCUUCGGGUUGUAAAGCCCUUUUGUUGGGAAAGAAAAGCAGCAGGUUAAUACCCCGCUGUUCUGACGUUACCCAAAGAAUAAGCACCGGCUAACUUCGUG
Molecule: ribosomal RNA, 492 nt
Filed under: uncultured bacterium
Lineage: Bacteria
Description: partial 16S ribosomal RNA
Rfam family: Bacterial small subunit ribosomal RNA
Source: RNAcentral